CGGGGUGCAGCAGGCGCGAAAACUUUACAAUGCCGGCAACGGCGAUAAGGGAACCUCGAGUGCCAGGUUACAAAUUUGGCUGUCGUGACGCCUAAAAAGCAUUGCAUAGCAAGGGCCGGGCAAGACCGGUGCCAGCCGCCGCGGUAACACCGGCGGCUCGAGUGGUAACCGUUAUUAUUGGGUCUAAAGGGUCUGUAGCCGGCCGGAUAAGUCUCUUGGGAAAUCUGGCAGCUUAACUGUCAGGCUUUCAGGAGAUACUGUCUGGCUCGAGGCCGGGAGAGGUGAGAGGUACUUCAGGGGUAGGGGUGAAAUCUUGUAAUCCUUGAAGGACCACCAGUGGCGAAGGCGUCUCACCAGAACGGACCUGACGGCAAGGGACGAAAGCUAGGGGCACGAACCGGAUUAGAUACCCGGGUAGUCCUAGCCGUAAACGAUACUCGCUAGGUGUCGGCCACGGUGCGACCGUGGUCGGUGCCGUAGGGAAGCCGUGAAGCGAGCCACCUGGGAAGUACGGCCGCAAGGCUGAAACUUAAAGGAAUUG
RNAcentral lists this ribosomal RNA (541 nucleotides) under uncultured archaeon. Its description in RNAcentral is "bacterial SSU rRNA". It matches the Rfam family "Archaeal small subunit ribosomal RNA", at positions 326 to 867 of the family's 1478-position model. The record is from RNAcentral.